Molecule: ribosomal RNA, 529 nt
Filed under: Nigrospora sphaerica
Lineage: Eukaryota; Fungi; Ascomycota; Sordariomycetes; Amphisphaeriales; Apiosporaceae
Description: eukaryotic LSU rRNA
Rfam family: 5.8S ribosomal RNA (bases 173-326)
Source: RNAcentral
UGCGGAGGGAUCAUUACAGAGUUAUCCAACUCCCAAACCCAUGUGAACUUAUCUCUUUGUUGCCUCGGCGCAAGCUACCCGGGACCUCGCGCCCCGGGGCGGCCCGCCGGCGGACAAACCAAAACUCUUGUUAUCUUAGUUGAUUAUCUGAGUGUCUUAUUUAAUAAGUCAAAACUUUCAACAACGGAUCUCUUGGUUCUGGCAUCGAUGAAGAACGCAGCGAAAUGCGAUAAGUAAUGUGAAUUGCAGAAUUCAGUGAAUCAUCGAAUCUUUGAACGCACAUUGCGCCCAUUAGUAUUCUAGUGGGCAUGCCUGUUCGAGCGUCAUUUCAACCCCUAAGCACAGCUUAUUGUUGGGAACCUACGGCUUCGUAGUUCCUCAAAGACAUUGGCGGAGUGGCAGUGGUCCUCUGAGCGUAGUAAUCUUUUAUCUCGCUUCUGUUAGGUGCUGCCCCCCCGGCCGUAAAACCCCCAAUUUUUUCUGGUUGACCUCGGAUCAGGUAGGAAUACCCGCUGAACUUAAGCAUAUC